CCAGAGCGGAGGAGGAGACAAAAAAAGCAUCGAAAGGGAAGUAAGAGCUCUCACUCAUACCUGUUUUUAUCCGCUCCAUUUCAAGAGCCGUUUUCCUACUGGAUGGAGUGAAUUUCAACUGCUAAAACAUCUGUAGCAGGUCUACAGAUUCCCUAAAGGCUCGUCUGCUAGCACGCACGGAGUGAUCCUUCUUCUCACAUAUGAACAAUCUUUGGAGUCACCAGCUCCGCUGACACGUCGGGGUGAAUUCUCUGCCUGGAAACACCGCAAACUAAUCGGAACCGGCGGCCGACAGAGACGAACUGGUGUCGUUGGACACGAGGGGGUCGACUAGAGUUCAAAGCUGGAAGUCGGAGUUGGGAAUCACAUCUCACCCGAACUGAAUCCAGACUGAACUGCUCCCUCCAGGUGUGACUUCCUGUGUCGGAGUCUGUGGUGAUGGGAGGAGAGCAGAGCCACGAGAGGGAGGACACAGACGACAAACAUGAAGAAUCUGUCAGUAUCGACGGCUCAGACUCUGCAGCCUCUGAAGACACUGCAGGAGAGCUGCCCCAGUGCCACAUGGGAAACAGGAAGGUGGACAACAUGUGCUUCAUGAUCACCUGCACCAACUGGUAUUAAACCGGUUCUGUUCCAACAGUUUAAUAAAAGAGAAGAUGUUAAAACCUGUGGGUUGAGUUGAUGUUGAUGUGAAGUUGACUGCAAGCAGAACGUGUUUGCUGCGUUGUUCCGCCGCUCAGACUCUGCGGUGUUGAAGAGUCGACAGAAGAUGAGCGGCCGCCUGUUGAAUGUUGGUUGUUGCUUGUGUGUCUUAACGUCCACCUGCUGUUCUUUGGAUCCUGCUUUCAGUUUGAUGUGUGACAGUGGAUGAAUUGUGUCCUCCUGUUUCUGAUGGAAAGCACACAGCGAUAGAACUGAAGGUUACGUCGAACACAUUUGAGUUCUUACAUCCAGUAUUACGUUUCAUUUCCCGUCGCCUCGUCGGUACACCUGUGUUGGGGAGGCUACUAUCCAAAUGUAGUAGGUUACAAAAAAACAGAAAAUAAAACAACCCCACAGGGUCUCUUGGACUUUCUUA
Scatophagus argus is the source of this 1078-nucleotide long non-coding RNA. RefSeq lists it as uncharacterized. Lineage: Eukaryota; Metazoa; Chordata; Actinopteri; Scatophagidae. The record is from RefSeq and is a predicted model, not a curated record. The transcript is spliced from 5 exons.